RNAcentral lists this long non-coding RNA (3323 nucleotides) under Salvia miltiorrhiza (redroot sage). Its description in RNAcentral is "long non-coding RNA (SMIL_LNC005598)". Lineage: Eukaryota; Viridiplantae; Streptophyta; Magnoliopsida; Lamiales; Lamiaceae. The record is from RNAcentral.
CCUCGUCCGAACUCGGAUUUGCGAACCGUUUGCGCCUACGAACUCAUAUCGAGACAAUCUAUAACUUUCAUUAAGACCAUCAGUCCAAAUUCGAACUCCAUAUUUCUGUAAAAAUCAUCAAAGUACGACCAAGUAACAUAUUUCACAAGAUAAAGCAAUUUAAGCACAAAACAAUUAUCCAAUACUCAAUUUCCUAUAAAAUUAACAUCAUAUGAACAUUAAAAACCAUGGAAACAUGAGUGUUAUCAGACUCGCUGCCAAAAAGAUUGCUAUAUAUCUUUAUUUAUAAUGUAUCUAAUUUACAAAUAAAGAAGAUAUAAAAUUAACAAAAAUAUACAUAUUUAUUUCCUCAAAAAUUCGUGUGCCUACAAACACAUCCAUACCUACUGAAAAUUAAAUACUAAUUAAGAAUAGAUUAAAUUGUAAUUUUAAUUUCUUUAAACUAUUAUAUAUAUAUAUAUAUAGUAUAUAAAGAAAAUUAAAUAAAAAAAAACUAAUUGCACUGAGGGUGACUCUAUUCGUAGCUAGCCUCCUAUUUUACUCAUUAUAGUCCCCCGUUUAAAAUAAUUAUAAAUAUACUAUUUUACCCUAUUAUUUGUAGUCCACGAUUUGGGGGCUACAAUCUAAGAGUCCAGCAGAAAUCCCAAAAUUAUGCUCCUAUAUUUCUUUCUAAAGCUUCCCUAUUUAAUUUUAGGGAAAAUUGCACCUAAAUACACAAACUUUGUCAAAAAUUCAUAUUGGACGCGAAGUUAGGAUUUUACAUUUUAAUACACCAACUUUCGUUGUUGUCCAAAUUUGACACAACUUAAUUCUUAAAAAUUCAAAAAACAACCCCUUUUUGUAAAUAAUUAUACAAAGACCCACUUUUGUUAUAGUUUGGGACAUUUAAACCAAAACAAGAUAUUUCCUUAUGAUGUUUUCUUUUAAACCAUUUUAGGCGCGGAUCAAAAUUNGGUUUAAAUGUCCCAAAUAAUAACAUAAGUGGGUCUUUGUAUAAUUAUUUACAAAAAGGGGUUGUUUUUUUGAAUUUUUAAGAAUUAAGUCGUGUCAAAUUUGGACAACAACGAAAGUUGGUGUAUUAAAAUGUAAAAUCCUAACUUCGCGUCAAAUAUGGAUUUUUGGCAAAGUUUGUGUAUUUUCACGCAAUUAUCCCUUAAUUUUAGGAUCUCGAUUUUAUAAAUGCAUACAACAGAUCUCCUAUUUUCUACAUAAAAACAAUAAUUAUGUGUGGGCCCUACUAAUUAUAAGCUUAAAAUAAAUUUAGGGUGAGUGUAAGUUUAAGAUUGAAUUUAGGUAGGUGUAAAAUUUUUUGUGGGCCCCAUUCAAUUUAGGGGAUCUGUUGGAUGCAUUUUUUAUCUCAUUUCCAAUUGUUUUAGCCUAAAUUUAGAGUUAAUGAUGCAUUUAGGUGAUCUGCUGGGAAUGCUCUAAUAGCCCCCGAAAACUGGACAUGAUCUACUUUUCAGUUUCAUACAUAACCUUCUCGAUUCUAUAUAAUUUGUUACUCUUCUCAAUAGAUUGGUGGUGGCUUAUGCAACUUUAGUUUAUCUGAUGAAUACCGUGAAGUAGUUCCAAAAUCACCCUCAACUUUUCUCUUCUCUUUAUCAUUGUUAUUGAAUUUCUUUACAAAAAAAAGUAAAAAAAAAAACUUAACUAUUUCUUCCUAAAUUUUAUAUAAAGUUAUUCUUCUCAUAGAGAUAUCAAAUAAGUUGCAGAUGAGUUAGAGAGCAAGAUUGCAAUUGCAUCUCGUGCCACGUUACUUGUCAAAUUCGUGCUUGUUAUACUAAAAGAAGUAAAUCUUGAUUUCUUGCUCGAUCUGCAGAAGAUAAUUGUAGAUAUUGACCUUGUCAACGAAAAUCAGCAACCGAUUACUAAAGCCCAAUAAAUUUUCUAAUUCAAAUUUAGUUAAAUUAGCAAGCCCAAGCCGCCCAACAUACCAAAAAGACCCAAAAUUUAAUACUCCUAUAAUUUUAUAUACUUUCCAAGAAGGAUUCUGAAGUAGGAUUUCGUUUAAACUUUUGUAUUCACUUUGCCUCAAACAAAAAAAAAAAAAAAACUUUUAAAUACCCUAGUUUUAUAUAGUUGGCAGGGUCGAGUUGUAUUCGACUCAAAAAAAAAAAAAACUUUUGAAUUGGGUCGAGUCGGUAUCAUACCUGAACUUUUCGAGUACCCAACCCCAAAAUUUGCCUUCAAUGUCUAUCCGCACCCGACUCGACAAAAUAUGUCCAGUAUCUUAAUAUUUAAUGCGACCGAAAUUAAAAAUAAAAAACAAAAAAUAAAUAUGACAAUCACAAUUAGGGGUGAGCAUAAAUCGAACCGGACUGAAAAAAUCGAUCGAACCGAUCAUUUCUGGUUUGGUUCGGUUUUGGAAUUUCUGGGUCGAUUUUUGGUUCGGUUCGCUAAGGUAAAAACUGACCAAGUAUCGGUUAGGUUUCGAUUUUCCGGCCAUGGUUCAGUCGGGAACCGAACCGAACCGAUACAUAUAGUAUAUUUUAGUCAAUAUAUUAUUUAUUUUAUAUUUUAUUAUGUAAAAUUUGAAAACCCUACCCCUAACUUACACUUGACACUCCCUACCCACCGCCUCCAAUUGAAUCUAGCCUAAGGGUGUGUUUACUUUGAUAGAAAAGAUUAAAAAAAGUAUAUUUUCCAUCAUUUUCACAUGUUUCCUAUGAUGGAUAAUUUUCUCCGGUCAGGCUGAAAAAUUUAUUCGGGCAGCCCCUUUUCACUCAUUUUCUCACAAAUGUUGGAUAAUAUUAUCCUAUUGGGAGGGUGUGAAAAUAUUUUCCAACAUUUCAAUUUGUUUAUCCAUAUAUUUCUAACAAAGUAAACACAUGAUAAAAAAAGGAGAAAAAGAUAAUAUUAUCUCACCUUUUCUUAUCCAUCAUUUUCAAACGAAAAUUUUACUACCAAAGUAAACAAACCCUAAGUGAAAACUCCUGAUUCUCCUCCCCCGGUGACACUGCGCCGGUGCCACUCUGACCAGUGACCGCCUCCACCCCGGCUUCUCCUACGUCGGCUCGCCUAUGACGACGCAGCAUGAGCAGACCGGCACCAGUUGCGCCACCUCCCCACCCCGACUUCUCCUCCCCCGCUGAUGCAGACCGGCGUCAUCUCCCUUCUCGCAGUAGCAGCAGACCAGCGAGUAUGAUUAGAUUGUUUAGUUGCGAAGAGAUUAUAUGUGUUUAGAUCUGUUUAGUUGGCGAGAAUUUGUAGUGAGAAUUAGUCGCUGAUUUAUUUUUGUUCCUUUUAAAGUCAAGACAAAAUUUGUGGUGAGAAUUAGUGGCUGAAUUAGUUCAUUUUCAGUUUUCAGAUUGUUGUUAGUUUAG